Molecule: ribosomal RNA, 373 nt
Filed under: Tanypteryx pryeri
Lineage: Eukaryota; Metazoa; Arthropoda; Insecta; Odonata; Petaluridae
Description: partial 16S ribosomal RNA
Source: RNAcentral
AGGGUAGUGUGAGGUGGGGAGUGAAAAAUUAUUUAAGGGGGGGGGUAUUUUGAGGGUGGAAAGGUAGGAUAAUGAUUAGUGUUUUAAUAGAGGGGUGGUAUGAAAGGUUUGAGGAGGUGGUGAGUGUGUGAUUUAAUUUGAAAUUAAAAUUUAAGUUUUGAGUGAAAAGGGUGAAAUAAUAUUGGAAGAGGAGAAGAGGGUAUAGAGGUUUAUAUUUAAUUUUAUUAAUAAUUUUUUGAGUAUUAAUUUUUAUUAUUAAUUUAAGUAUUUUGUUGGGGUGAGAAAAAUAUAAAAUUAAGUUUUUUAUGUAUUAAAGAUUAAUGUAUGAUUAUUAGAUGGAAUGUUAUUGAUUGUUAGAAUAAGUUAGGUUAGG